UACGUAGGGGGCGAGCGUUGUCCGGAAUUACUGGGCGUAAAGGGUGCGUAGGCGGUUGCUUAAGUUGGAUGUGAAAUACCCGGGCUUAACUUGGGGGGUGCAUUCAAAACUGGGCGACUAGAGUUCAGGAGAGGGAAGCGGAAUUCCUAGUGUAGCGGUGAAAUGCUUAGAUAUCACGAAGAACCCCGAUUGCGAAGGCAGCCUGCUAAGCCGCCACUGACGUUGAGGCUCGAAAGUGCGGGUAUCAAACAGG
Molecule: ribosomal RNA, 253 nt
Filed under: Phocaeicola coprophilus DSM 18228 = JCM 13818
Lineage: Bacteria; Pseudomonadati; Bacteroidota; Bacteroidia; Bacteroidales; Bacteroidaceae
Description: partial 16S ribosomal RNA
Rfam family: Bacterial small subunit ribosomal RNA
Source: RNAcentral